This is a long non-coding RNA of Monodelphis domestica (gray short-tailed opossum), 9339 nucleotides long. RefSeq lists it as uncharacterized. Lineage: Eukaryota; Metazoa; Chordata; Mammalia; Didelphimorphia; Didelphidae. The record is from RefSeq and is a predicted model, not a curated record.
GGGAGGACCCCUUGUCACCCCCGCAGGGCUAGGGUCACGGCGCCCCGCCGCGCGCCCCUCGAACCCCCGGAUUCCGCUACUCCGGCGCCUGUUGUGGGGGGUCUAAGGCGAUGCUGCCCCCCACUCGGCGGGUCCGACCCAAUUUCGGCGGGGUCGGCGGAAGGCUCCCCCCCUGGAGCUUGCCCAAGUGGUAGGGCCCGCUCGACUGCGGUCACGUGGGCGCCUCCUCUGUGACGUCGGCCGCUUCAAUGUAGCAAAGCUCGGCCUCUGGAAUUCUGAGAACUAAUUUGCUAUUCGGUGACAUAAGAGGGGGGAGCGCGCCGCCCGCCCGGGGUCCGGGGCUCCUUCCCUGUCUCGCGCCCAUAAACACCACCACCACGUCCACGUCCACGAGCGCAGGGCACCCCCGGGGGGCAGGGGCUCCCGAGCCAGACAAUAAACACGCAUCCAGGGCACGGGGAGAGAGGCCAGAGGAGGCAGAGGGCGAGCUUGCCACCUAGAAUCUCAGCACGUUGGCAAAGCCGUGUUGAAAAAGCAUUUGACUCAGUGGAACAAAGGACUGCCUUACAGGCUCCUUUACCAGAAGGUGCCUCAUAGCCAUCCAUCAAUCAAAAUCAUUCCAGAUUUCUUAGAAGAUGUAACAACAAAAGCAUCCCUUUUUGAUGACUCUCAUGAUAAACAUCAGCACUCACUCAUCUCUCACUUGGACUACUGUAAAAACCUUUUGACUGAUCUCUCUGCCUUCAAGAGCUUCAAUAGAUCAAUACGGUCCUGUCGGAUGGAUCCUUCUUUGUGCACAUGUGUGCAACCUCUCAGACUGGUUAACAGCCGCCUGUAUCCCAGGGACUUUGCUGGGGAUACAGGGAGGAAAAACAAGAGCAUCCCUGACCUCUAGGCAUUUGCUGUCUAUAUGUAUUGCUGAUGAAGAUUUGUUGAUUGAUUAAAGGAUAGUGAAGAGACAGCAUGUGCACAGGUGACUUAAUAACUCAUGAUCAUGAACUACAAAGGCUUGGAAGAUACCUUCUGCAGUGUCAGAAAGUGUGCCCCCCCCCCAAGGAAAUAAGAAGACUCCCGAAGUGAUGAAGGACUGCCUGGAAAGAGAUCAGGCUAUCACAGGUUUGAAAUGAGGAGGGAACUCGGAAGCAACUAGAAGGAAUUGAGGCCAGAGAAUUUCAGUGACUGGCCCAAGGUCACUUAGAAUCGUCAAGGGCACCAUCUGUCUUCCUGUUAUCUCGGCUCACAAACUAGAAGUCAUCGUGGAGUCUUCACUCUCACUCCUUUCCUGGCCGAAUUCUCCCAGUUGCACCUCUUCAGCACCUCUGGAACCUACUCAUUUCUCUUUGCUCACAACACACCCAUCCUGGACUAGGACGGCAUUACCUAUCACCUAGACUCCUGAUGGCAGGAACUUCUACUUGGAGAUCUCUCUGAAUCCAUCUUUCCUCUCCUCUGAUCCUAUCUCUACAUAGUUGCCUCAUUGCAGUUCCUAUAGAACAGGUCCAACCAGGCCAUUCUCCUGUUCCUCCAAGCUUCAGUGGUUCCUCCUUGCUUCUAGGCUAAAAUACAAGUGACUUGACUUCCUUCAGCAUUCAAAUGCCUAUAUAAUCUGACUUCAGCCUACUUUUCCAGGCUAUUUACGUAUUAUUCAUCAGCACACACUUCAGAUGGUAUCAUGUAACGUAUCUCUAAGACUUCCACUGCCCUGCUCAGAUUUCCUGUUGUAUUCCAGCUUGUUAGUGUUCUGCUUUAAAAAUGUGACCCAUACAAUGACACAUGGAAAAGCCAGUGGAAUUGGGCGGCAGUUAUGGGAGGGGGUUUGGGGGACGGGAGGGAAAGGACACGAAUCUUGUAACCAAGGAACAAUCUUCUAAAUGAACUAAUUAAAUAAAAAUUUCCCCCCAAAAUAAUAAAAUAAAAUAAAAAUGUGAUCCAUAGCAUCGACUACAAUAUUCCAACAGUGGCCAAACCAAAGCAAAGUACCUUGGGACAACCAUCUACUUCAUACUGGGCACCAACGCCUUGGUGAACAGCAUCUAAGUUCAACCCAGCUUUCUCACCUGUCAGAUAACUUUGUCAACUCAUUUUGAACUGGAAGCCCCCUAGAUCCUCCUCCUCCUCGGAAAAACAGUACUUCACAAGACACUCUCACAACACACCCAUCCUGGACUAGGACGGCAUCACCUAUCACCUAGACUCCUGAUGGCAGGAACUUCUACUUGGAGAUCUCUCUGAAUCCAUCUUUCCUCUCCUCCGAUCCUAUCUCUACAUAGUUGCCUCAUUGCAACCCUAGACCUCUGAAGUUCAUGGUUUGAACCCAAGAGUACACUUACUUUACAUUUAUCCCUCAUAUUCCAUCCUAUUGGACAGCCUGGUGUACUGUAGGAACCUUAUCCAUCACACAUGGGCAGCCCAGCAUGUGCUUAAAUAACUCCAAGGCCAGGAGCCACUGCUUUCAGGAUAGAUCCAUAGGGUUUGUUUGGCAUAGUGGAAGGGGGCUUGGUUUUGUAGUCAGGUCCCAGGUCUACAUGUGUGACUUGGGGCAAGUCUUCAGUUUAGCUACCUCUAAAAUGAAAUGAUGGACCUCGAAUAUCCCUUCCAAUCCCGAAUCUAGUAUUUUAUGUUGGUGACAUACAUCACGACCUAUGGGGAGAGGACUGGGGACUCCUCUGCUCUCCAUGCCCUUCUAUGUUCCUGCCAGGCACUUUCCUCCAAAGCUUUUCAGCUGAGGAUACCCACUGGUUCGACUUGAAAUCCCUGCCGUGCACUGAUGGAGAAUGAAGACAACGUAUGCCAAGUGAAUGCAGCCAUCUGCACGUUUGGUUUGUUAACUACCUAGGGAGGGUUUUUUUAAAGUAGGCAUUUAUUUGGGGGCACUUAUUUGAAGGAUGUCUUAAGGAGGGUUCCUUGCUGUCAGUGUACCUAAAAAGUAUGAAAUGAGAAAUGUGGAGGAUUUCACAUUAAGAAAGUCUUCCUUCUUUUAGGUUCUCCAUUGGCUCAACUUUUGAGCAUCCAAGAUCUGAAACAGCACUAGAAAUAAGUUCACAGGAAGCAAAUGGUGGAGGUUUACUUUCUUCAUUUUCUUCAGUCAUCAAAAGUCCCUAUCAGAAGACCAGGGAAAUAAAAGCCUGAAGAGUUUGCGGGUCCAAACCGCUGGCCUUUUCCUGGAAAGCUCUGUGGCAUCAUUCUUGGAAUGAAAAAGAAUGAUCACACAGACCAGGAACACAAUGGCAUUCUCUCUGAGUUCUAGCUGUUCACUCAGACUGCAUUGGUUAGUAUCACUUCCCUUUUCUCCCAGGCACACUCAAAAUACUUGCAUUUGGGUUUCCCAAGUGAUGGAAAAAAGGCUUAAAUUCCUUCUUCCUAUCACCUAACAAGAACCCCUUUCUGUACAUUAAGCAACAACAUCAAAAGCUGCCUCCUUGGAUUUCUUCGAUUAAAUUUUCUGGGUGUUUUUUUAAAUUUUAUUUUAAUGAGAAAUAAAUCUCACUCAUGAGCCAAGUUCACACUGUUUUCUAUCACUGAGAAGAAGGUCAUAGUGACCCAGCAAGGAGAGCUGCCUAAGUUCCCCACCCCAGUCACAUUGAGCUCGGACCUGAAAGCAUGGAGCACAUCUGUAGACAUUCUUUUGGAUUCAAUGCUUUCUGCCCAUCUGCGAACCCAGAGUGCCCUCAGAAGCCUUCCUUUGGCUCUCCACUCCCCGGGAAUCGCGGCUCUAUUCAUCUAAGACCCAUCUAUGCCUUGGACACCACCAGCAAAUCCAAAUCAGUAGGACUGUCAGAGACCCCUAACCAGAGUGGGGUGAGGAUGAGAACUUCCAUGGGAGAGGGAAGCCUCUUGGUUGGCCAUUCCAAUGGUGGCUCCAUAGUCACCACCUACAUGGCCCAAUGCCCCGAUGAUCACACAUCGCCCUGAGAUUCAGCCACACUACCUGAACUGGAAGGUGCUUCGAGUCUUUCUUCAUGGGUGCAGCAUCCUCACUUGUCACGAUGUCCAGCUUGUUGUGUUCAACAGCUCCGGGAGCCACCUGGGUCCCCCUCCAGUUGUUUUCUCUCAGUUAGAUCCAGGAAAGCCCAGCCUUGCUUCGAAUGAGCAUGGACUAUCACUAGCCAGUGUGGGAGCCCUGAGCAAUGGAUGCAUAAUUACACUAGUCAGAUUGAUGCAGGUUCUGUUGAGAAAUACUUCUUUUUAAGGAAGUGCAACCUUUUAACUUCUCCGUUUGAGCAGGCAAUGGGCCAAGAAGAAGGAGAGCUCUGGAUUAAGUCAUAGAAAAGUCGAUGGACCUGUGCGGACACACAAGCCUACAGCAAUCCCAGAACCCUUAAGAUCCUGAAAUCCGAAAGUGCUACCCAAAUAGUGUCAUCAGAAUGAUUAUUAUUCCCCAGGACCACCCUUGGAUACUGGAACAUUCCUGCCAUGUCCUCAUUGAGUAUUCCUUUCUCUAGGCUAAACAUUCUCAGUUUCUCCAACUUACUCUCUUAUGGUCUGAGUGAGCCCCCCAAUCCCCACUCAGACAUCUCUCUCCUGCCCCGAGGAUACAAUAUAAGCAGCCUUGUUUAGCUUCAAAACCCUUCUCUAGCCCUCCUCUCUAGGCUUAUUCCACAUGAGACUCCUUCACAAAUCUACAUUUUAGCAAAAUUGGCCUACUUAUGGUUCUCUGCAAACAACAGUCCAUUUCCCACCUCCACGACUCAGCCCACAUUCAGCUCUCCAUCCCCGAAUGUUUUUCCUCCCCAGUUUCCUCUCUUGGAGGCUCCUCUCUUCUUCUAGGUUCAAAGAUCCUGUCUACACUGCUGAUACCCCCUUAAAUAAGCAGUUCGGAUCUCUCUCCUGAGCUUGUACUUGUAUCUGGAAGCCUUGGUACCAAACUUUCUUUGCAAAGUGCAACAAAUCUUGUUCAUUUUUAAAAAUACUUCCCUUCCGUCUUGGAGUCAAUACUGGGUAUGGGUUCCAAGACAGAAGAGUGGUAAGGGCUAGGCAAUGGGGGUCAAGUGACUUGCCCAGGGUCACACAGCUGGGAAGUAUCUGAGGCCAGAGUUGAACACAGUACUUCCCAUCUCUGGACCUGACUCUCCAUCCACUGAGCUACCCAGCUGCCCCCUCAUUCACUCAUUCUUACUUUACCACCUGCAUAUUGGACAUGUCGAUAUGGACGACGUCCCACAGGCAUCUCAAAAGCCCCGUGUCCCAAAGAAAACUUACUUUCUUUUCCUUAGAUCCGUCCCCUUCUUAACUUCUCUGCUUCUCUCAAGAGCAUCCCUUCUCUCCCAGGCGUCCAGGCAGUCUUCUCACUGGCCCCACCUUUCCAGUCUGAUGUCUGUCACAUCUUGUCAAAUCUGAUCCUCCCUCCACAACAUUGCUCACCUUUGAGCCUUUCUCUGCACUCCCACAAAUGCCAAGACAGUUUGGGUUCUAAUCAACUUCCCUCUAGACCAGAGGUCAGGCCAACUUCAGCCUGCCACUUGAGCUAAGAAUGAUUACGCUGAAAAAUACAGUAAAACUUUAUUUUUAAAUUAGACAACAAACAAGCCCCAAGACAAACAAAACCAUUCUAAGCUGGACAUCGAGCAGAGAAGAAGCUGUCCGUAUCUUUGGUCCACAGCCAUGUUGCCAAAGCCUGUUCUAGACUAUGAAUAGCCUUUCACUGGUCCCCUCUUUUCAAGUCCCUCCCCACUCCCAGUCCGUACUCCACAUGGAGAACAAAAUGAUUUUCCUAAAGUAAAGGUCUGAUCCUAGUACUCCGACUCUACAAAUUCCAGUGGCUCACUGUUGUCUCCAAGAAAUAACUGAGAGCCAUCUCUCUGGCAUUUCACAUAGCUUCCUUUUGGGUCAGUCCUGUCCGUUCCUCCCUUGGAUUCUCGCUAUCAUCCCGCCAUACUGGUUUUGUCAUGGUGACACACUGUUUUCUGUCUCUGUGCCUUUAUGUUGACGAUUCCCCAAGCCCAGAAAGUUCUCUGUCUUUAUGCCCACCUUGUAGGAUACCUGGUUCUUGUCAAGACCCUCUGCGUGAAGUCUUUCCUGACCUCUAAGUUUUCAUCCCUCCCUCCAAGACGAUCAUGUACCCAUUUGUACAUGCUUUGGACAUUCUUAUAUAUGCACAGGGAUUCCCCUCCAAUAGCAUGGGAGCUCCAUGUGGGCAUUUUUUUGCCUGUGUAUUCCUUGUCCAAACCCAGUGUCUGGACCACAGCAGGCUUCAAACUCCUUUUUGACUGGUGGAUCAUGACCGCCUUUAUUCUCUUGGGUGUGCUUAUUUCCUCUGUGAAAUAGGCUGGUCAUACAGUGUCAUGCUCAUUUGAUCAGUGGACCACUGUAAUAAGGACUCUGGAUCCUUAUAGGUUAUUGGUAUUGGCAUAGGUGUUUCCAACACCCGUGUCCUGAGGGACUGGCAGGCAUCUCCGUGUCCCUCGUCUACCACACCAAGACACAAUAGUCUUAUGGGAGGGAAAAUAUUGUUGGCAAGCUUUUUAAAAAUUUUAUCUCAUUGAUUAAUUUAGAGCAUUUUCCCAGGAUGACAAGAAUCAUGUUCUUUCCCUCCCCUCCCUCCACCCCCUCCAUUAGCCGGCCCACAAUUCCACUGGGUUUUACAUGCAUCUUUGGUCAAGACCAGUUUCCAUAUUAUUGAUAUUUGCACUUGGUGAUUGCUUAAUAUCCAUCCCCAGACCUAUCCCCAUCGGCCCAUGUGAUUAAGCAGUUGUUUUUCUUCUGUGUUUCCGCUCCCACAGUUCUUCCUCUGGAUGUGGAUACAUUCUUUCUCUUGAGUCCCUCAGGGUUGUCCUGGGUCACUGCACUGCUGCUAGUAGAGAAGUCCAUUAUGGGAGGGAAAGUAUUAAGUAAAGAUUUCUUCAGUUCAGACAUUCAGAUGAUUCAGCUUGAAAGCAGACACAAGUGAGAUCCUGACACUUAAGCAACAAAUAUGUCCAGUUUCAUGUGAUACGCUCACAUAAAGAGAAAUCCACACAGCUCUUAUCAGCUCAAUGACAGUAUCUCCCUCAACGGGCGAGGCUUCCUGAUUUUAAUAGUGAGUCAGCCAAUCAUCUUAAUUAUCAUCAGCUUCAUUUCCUCUUCCCAGGAGAGGCUUCCUGUAUCUUGUACUUUCAGGUUUGCCUUGCUGGCCACCUCUGCCCAGCCAGCCACAGCUCCUAUUCCCCCUCCCCCUCCCCCUGCCUUGUCAACCCUAAACCUGGAUUCAGCCAUGUUCUACCUCGAAGCAGUUUUCCUCCUCUGUGCCACCUAAGCUGGCUCCUCUGGCCCUCAAAGGGACAGACACAUUUUUACCUCCCCCUUAAAAUCUUAAUAGAUGCCAGACAAUCGUGGGAUCCCAUGGUGGGAAGGGACUUCAAUGGCCAGUGAGGCCAACUUGGACCUAAACAGGUCUAAGAGAAAAAGCCUGUCUGCUAAGUGAUCAUCCACCUUCUGCUUAGAGUUAAUGGUUGAGAAGGAAGCCCUGAUUUCACUGCGGCUGCCUAUUCUAGUCCCAGAGAGAGUUGGAGUUGGGUUUUUGGAAACAGGUCCCUUCCAUCUAGUCUAUAUUUCCCUCUUUGCAUCUUCCACCCAUUGCUCUGAAUACCAAGGAGGAAAGUCUAAUCCUUCUUCCAAAGGUAGCCUUUCAACUAUCUUCAAGAUGGCUCCCCAGGUCUUCUCUUCCCUGCGUCAAACAUCCCCAUUUUCCUCAAUUGGUGCUUGGAAGACAGCGCCUCCAGAACCCCUUACCAUCUGGGUCAGCAUUUUCUGCAUGCUCUCAUUGUUCACCAUCAUCACUUCCUAAAAUUCGAUGUCCAGAGCUAAGGACAACAUUUCACACGCAGUCCGACUGCAGCAGACUGGCCCAGAGGAAUGAGCAUCUCCUUCCUCCGCCAUGCUAUGCUUCUCUUAUGGUAUAUACAUGGCCCUAGCUUUCUUGGUUGCUAGCUUAUACUAUUGUCUCAUAUUGACUUCCCCAUCUUCCCUAUCACAUCUCUCUUUUCUCUCCCAACUAUACACCCAUGGUCCCACCAUACAGGCUUCACUGAGCUCCACUGGCUUUCCUCCUCUUAGCAUCCCUGGUUUCCUUCAAAGCUCAGCUGGAGCGCUCUCUUCUUAACGGAGUCUUUCCUGGGUGCUCCCCUCUUCCAGGGUUCUUCUGCUCUAGUGCCUUGGUUCUGGCCACAUAUGAGAUACAUCUUGUAUCUCUACUCAUAUAGUGUACCCUCUUCAAGGCAGAGAUGGUCACGCUUCUGUCUUGGGAUCCUCACAGUGCCUCACACACAGAGGGGACGUAAGAAAUGAUUGUUGAUUGAUAUGGGCAGGAUACUACGACUAUUUUAAAUGGCUUCUAUAUGAAUUGCUCUUCGGCCAUGCCUCCCCUUCUUUUUACUUGGGACCUUGGAUUUUUGCAUCCAAAAAUAAAAAAAAAAUGAAUUCCAUCUUAUUUGCUGGUCCAUCUUUCCAGCUCAUUUAAUUUUUUGGAAUUUAAUACGUUGCUUAUUCUGCCUAAUUUUAUACUGAGGGAAAAUGCAGCAUCCCCUCCAAUAGCUUUGCUUUACAAUCCCCCCAAAUGGGGUCAUGAACAAUUGGACAUGACAGAAGCAACUGAACAAUAACAACACCGAUAGGCUUCCUUCCUUCUCACUGCCCUUCCCCAAUUAUUUCCUUGAGAUUAUGGAACUUGUCUGACUUUUUUCCUCCUUCUACAAAGGAAUCCUUCAAUAGUUUGAUAUGUCCCUGGAUAAUAAAUUAGGUAGCAUUAUUUUAUAAUAUUGGCUUUAUUUACUGAUUAUUUUUAUACUUUGUAUUUUAAAUAACCAGUUUACAGCUUAAAGAAUCUAUGUUUUCUCUAGUGCAUUCCCCAAGAUUAUUGUGAUCUCAGUGGUCAUAUCACAUAGCUCUUUCAAUACUUCAAAGUGCAGUUCAUACCAGCCUGCUGAGCCGAGCCCUUGGAGGGCAGUUAGAGGCUUUCUAACCACCUCCUUGUUUUUCCUUGUUUCCAAUUCCCCUUUAGACAUUUCUUCCCAUCCUUCCUAGCCCAGAGAUUCUGAGCAGAGCAAACAGAACUAAAACUAGAGUUUGAUUAUGCUUUCUCUCUGUUAUCAGGCAUGACUUGAUCAUUCAGCACCAAGCUCCUCGUCCCUUUGUCCUCAAGAUGGCUUUAAAGGGUCACUUCUGCCACCAUUCAUUUACCUUGCUCUCCAGCUUCUUCUGGUUCUGCAGAAAAAAAUUCUGCAAGAAUUGGCCAGGCUUCUGAUUAAGAGGGCCUUGGUUUCCCCUUGUGUAAGAGCUGUGUGUCCAAACGAGUGCCCUCAAACCUUUUCUUCUUCUCGGAGAACAUUUGGGACUGCGUUCCCCGAGACUCACGGUCCCUCUUUC